Molecule: non-coding RNA, 301 nt
Organism: Sus scrofa (pig)
Lineage: Eukaryota; Metazoa; Chordata; Mammalia; Artiodactyla; Suidae
Source: RefSeq, a predicted model, not a curated record
UAGAGCCUGGAUCUGCUUUGGACUGUCAUGUUGUCCCAGAAACGAAGGCAAACGAAUGCUGUGUGGCUUGUUAUCAGGAGAGCAGUAUCUAUUGGUGGGGCCCCAGGGCCUGCUGACAAAGUCCAUGUAAAGGUUGCUCCCUGAGGCUGUUGAGACCAGACAGAACUCCGGAACGGAUGGAACAGGGGCUGACAAUAUUUUAGCGCUUUUUGGGUACAUCUUCCUUAGUUUCCCUCUCACUCCCAGGUUUCCACGGCAACAGUGGCAGCAAUUCAAGAACCCGGAAAUUAACCCUGACACC